RNAcentral lists this ribosomal RNA (274 nucleotides) under uncultured bacterium. RNAcentral's name for it is "partial 16S ribosomal RNA". It matches the Rfam family "Bacterial small subunit ribosomal RNA", at positions 523 to 796 of the family's 1533-position model. The record is from RNAcentral.
AUACGGAGGGAGCGAGCGUUAAUCGGAAUUACUGGGCGUAAAGCGCGCGUAGGCGGCUUUGUAAGUCGGAUGUGAAAGCCCUGGGCUCAACCUGGGAAUGGCAUUCGAAACUGCAGAGCUAGAGUAUGGUAGAGGGAAGUGGAAUUUCCGGUGUAGCGGUGAAAUGCGUAGAUAUCGGAAGGAACACCAGUGGCGAAGGCGGCUUCCUGGACUAAAACUGACGCUGAGGUACGAAAGCGUGGGGAGCAAACAGGAUUAGAUACCCCAGUAGUCC